This 2298-nucleotide long non-coding RNA is filed under the name Bemisia tabaci. RNAcentral describes it as "lncRNA ENSSSA1NGG001757". The record is from RNAcentral. Lineage: Eukaryota; Metazoa; Arthropoda; Insecta; Hemiptera; Aleyrodidae.
AUCAGUCUUUUUCUUUCCUCUCACAAUAGUUUUAAAAUUUUGUACUCGGACAUGUUUUAACUUUAUUCAUAUUUUUGUUGAAUCAGGUAAUACUUACGGUAUUCCAACCAUGGAAAAAAAAAUCAUGUUGGGCAUGGUGAGAACUUUUCAGUCCAUCGCAUUUCUACUACCUGAAGAAAAAGAAUUCGAGGAUGCAACAUUGGUCGAGUGGGUUCCUCAGAAUAAAAAUACACGUCGAGAGAUUACCAACAGUUUUUUAAGGAUGUUCUUUUCGAGGAUGGUUAUCUGAUGAGAGAAGAUGUCCGUCCAUUUUUCCCCGUUGCUUUGGAUAAAUUAGGAGUGAAAUUUUAUUGCGUGUGGACGAAUCUGACUGCACUUCAGACACCCGGAACGUAUCGAGUCACAGCACCCAAAAUAAGUGACACGGAGGAGGUUGAAAUCGUGAACAUCGUCGGUGAUGGGACAGUGCCGCUGAACAGUUUGCGAUAUUGCGAGAAGUUUCAAAGUGCAAAUGUCGUUAUUAAACAUUUUCAAGGGUACGAACACACCGGAGUACUUUACGAGACAGUGUUUCACGAUUAUGUGAUGUCAGUCGCUAAAGGAGCUCAAUCAUUUCCCUGAAUGAAGCCCAGCUGAGAAGUUCGUCAAGAAAAUUGACGACAAAUCGUACCGAAAUUAAUAAACGAGUUUCGUAAGCCAUGAGGUUAUGAUCAUUCGUUUGCUGGAUGAUAAAUGAAGCUCACAAUCAUUUAUUAGUAGACAGAACAGAAUGCUCUUGUAACUAAACCUUUUGGAGUUUUGAUUUCAGUUUGUAAAGAACCAUACCUUAGUUCGUUCAACAGCCCUUCUUCUCGGUCUGUACACGGCAUGCACGGAGAAAACGAUGUAGUGCUGGGCACUGACUAUUUAGAUAAAAUGGAUCCAGCUGAUAUGGCAGUACUGCAGAGACCUGCAAUCGAUAGGGCUGGACCCCAAAUUUUAGGGCUCAGCACCACUGUCAUACUAGCUGCCUCUAUUUGAUCUAAACAGUUAGUGCUCAGCACUACAUCGUUUUUCCGUGUACGGGUAAAAAUGCUGCCAAAAAAUGUCAUAUGUAAAUAUUGGAUUUUGAUUGUAAAGGAGGGGGGGGAGAGUUCAAAAUUAUGUUUUCGAGAAAAAAAGUUCUAAAACGAUUGAAGCACUCAUUCGUCCUUUCAAUCGAUUAAUAGUUUAGUUCAAUUGAGAAUUGAAAUUCCCAGAGAAAACUGUGAUAACGAUAAAGAUUUUACCCCAUUUCAGUGCUUUUCUGGUUUUUUCUUCUUUUUUCUAUUUUUCUUUUUUCUUUUUUUUCUUUUCUUCAUCUCAGUAUCAUCUUAUUUAUAGUGAAUUUACAAAACUUCGUAUCUCUAUUUACUGCGUUGCAGAUUUCCUGCGUCAAAUUUUAAUUAUAAUUGAAGAAUGGGUGAUAAAAUGAACAUCAAAUUACUUUUAUUCAGUUUCGUGUGAUUUUACUCUGACGUUUUUAUAUAAGUCUCUGUAAAUUUCAGAAAUGUCUUGUUUUCAACAAGGAAAUAAAAAGAAAGCAAAACACCGUUUUCAUACUUUCUCAUUCAAUGGAUAUACAUUAAUUUAUGGUCACAUUAUUACUAAUUAAUUUGGACAUUGCAAGUCCAUUCGUUGAUGUGGGGAGAGGAGAAAGACUAUAUAAAAAAUCAAAUCAACUUAAUACUGUUCAAGGAUUUUGAGCAAUCCCAUUUCACCGAUCCACUAAGUCACCCUACGAGUCUCUAUUUAUGUCUAUACGUUUGUAUAUCCAUGAGCACAAACUAUCGUUAAAUCAUGAAUUCACUGCUUUUGGCACAGACAUCCAUUAAAUCAUCGGUAGACAUGUUUGUUUUCGCAUCCUACAUUGAAGCAAAAUUUUGUGAUUCUGUGUAAAUUUUUAGAAGCAGCUCAUACUCGUGCAUAGAAUGUAGCAUCCAGCAUUUUCUUUUAAAAAGAAAAAUUAAAUAGGUUCAAAUAUUCCGCUCACGGAUAGAACCUAGAUCAAUCAACUUCAGUCAAACUGAUUAUUUAGGACAUCAGUAUGUUCGGAAAUCCACCCGGGUCAAGUCUUACAAAACCAUCCUUAUCCUUCUCUCUCCGAUAAAAGCACUCACAGGCUUAUAACUUCGCAAGUUACAGAUUGAUGCCAUUCCACAAGAAACAAUUGAGUUUUGGCGAGUAAUUAUAUAAUGUGCUGUGAUCAUCAAGCCGGGCGUUCGAUAGAGCGCAAUUUUAGAUGGAAGCUCUUGGAUUUUAGGAGGAUGGAAUAUUUGA